RNAcentral lists this long non-coding RNA (817 nucleotides) under Papio anubis (olive baboon). RNAcentral describes it as "lncRNA (ENSPANG00000044450.1)". Lineage: Eukaryota; Metazoa; Chordata; Mammalia; Primates; Cercopithecidae. The record is from RNAcentral.
CCGCGGGGACUCCUGCCGCCGACCAACGAGGGUACGCCGCGCCCAAGCCGCUCCUCUGGAUGGCGACAGAGACGGCCUGGCGCGCCUGCAGCCUGGGCCCCCCAGCGGGGAGGACGGCUGGCCAGGUGAAGUUCCUGCACUUGGGCCUUCCGCGUUCCCAUCCACUGCAGCCAGGGCCUGGAAGGCUGGGGAAGGGACGGGGGCGGCAGACGCCUCCUAAGGAUCACUCUACUCGGGCACCUCUGCCACUGCCCCGUGCUUGCCCUCCUGGUUCAUCUCCCUGGAGUCCCUGCAGGACCAGCUGUCGGUGGCGUCUCUGGGCUCCCAGUCCCGGGACUGGUCCUAUCGAGAAAACGGGAAUGGAAGGGGAGCCCUUGGCGCUUAUAACUUGGAGCCCAGAAUGGUGGAGAGUCUGAAAACGGUGAUGCUAGAAAAGGUGAAUUCUCCACUCCAGGUUACAAGUAGAGGGACCCAAGGAGUGGGGAGGUGGGGGGGAGGUGUGGGGUCUGAGAUGGUAUUGAAGAGAUGGUGUCUCCCUGGGACAGCAACCUUGAGAUGAUUACAAAGACACCACCCCCGGGCAGUCCGAAGGCAAGGGCAGGUGCCUGGUCCAGCCCCAUCCCGGCCUUGUUUCCAGAGGCCUGGAGAGAGAGACCAAGAUGGAAAUUGAGGAUGGGGGGUGAGCGCAGCCUGAAUUCUGUUGCUAGGGAACAGAAAGCUCCACUCUGGAUCCCAACACGCGCUACGGAUUGGCGAUUUUUCUGUUGUUGUUGAUGGACUGGGUUUGAUUACUAGCCAGAACUGACAGAAGUUUAGA